AAUUCCAUCUAGUUUGUUUUAUAGAACAAAUCUCCCAGAUGCUUAUUAUUUCUUGUUAAAAAGGAAACACUUUGAUGUGUAAGAUUUGUAUUACAUUAUACAACAAAUGUACGAAAAGAAACAAGUGCAGUUGAAUUGCACUCUUUCAAGGAUCUGGGAUAUUUGUUCUAUACAAUUUUCUUACGAUAUGUCUGGUAAAGCAAUGAAGUGAACCAAUACUGUUCAAUAAGUGUUGAAAAUUAUAGAAAUAAUGGAUUUGCGUCUUUAGAAAGUAUAUUUAAAAGUAACUAUGAGGCAAAUUCUAUGAACAUAACGAAGAGGUGUCAUUACUUUUGAUUCUGCAGAAAUUCAUGAAGUGUGUUUUAUUCCAUAUGCUAUCUGUGACAGAUGUUCUUCAAGGUAUCAGACUACACACACAGUGGCUGUAAAGUGGAUACCAGGUCAGUGCAGAUCCAACCAAGUUCAAAGGUCAAGGUCACAUCAGUUCGAGAAUUCUUGUCGGUGGAGUAUAAGGUGUGGAACUCCCAGGGGGACGCCCUCUCUUGCCUACCACCUGUCAUGCAGGAAACGUGAUGAGGGGAUAUUCAUCAGGCAGAAAACAAGAUCAGUCGGGGACCAUUUGGUUGUGAGAUACAGUGGAAUUGCGGUGCAAGAUGUUGCCUUUCAAAUUUCCAAGUCUUAUAAAAGUGAACAUCCCAACGUGAAAUAAUAAUUCACUCCCCACUUUUUUUUUAUGAUGAAAUAUGCCCUUUUCCCUCUUUAUUUUUUGGCUUUUGCAUCACUCUUAUUCAAAGAAGUACUUCCUCUCAUUUAUUUUGAGGCUUCUGUAGCAUCUGGAUGAAGGUUCAGUUCAUGUGAUUGAAAAUAAAAAUGAAAUAGGAGUUUGCAUAUAAGAUUACUGAAUAAAUCAAGACUAUUUUUUUUGUUUUAUAUCAGUGUAUAGACUCCUGUACAAAUUUUGCAUUCACAAAACAGUACCAAAUCUGCUAUCUGGUUUUCUUACACAGUGGUUUACUUUUGAUUUCAAAAUAUAGAACAAGGGAUUUUAAAAUAUAAUGAAAUGAAAACGGUUUGAUCUCAUUUUGGAUAAAACUUUAUUACCUGUAAAGACAAUCGGGCAAAAAUAAUAUUCCCUUCUCAUUUGUUGAAGAAGAAAAAAAUUAGAAAAGCAAACAAUUUCAAUUGCUCAAGUUGUAUGCUUAACCAUCAGAUAUGAUUGCCAUGUGUCAGCUGUAAAGUACUCGGCCAUAUCAAGAACUUCUACACAGCAAUGAAGACCUGUAAAAGAUAUAAUUUGUAUCAUUCCACAAUGCAUUUUUAUAUUUUCCCAGAAAUGUAUGUUGUGAUAUAUGCUGUAUUUGUAAUACAGACAAGAUAGAGAUAUAUUUAUUUAAAUAAAGUUUAUAAACUAUUACAAAAAUAUAAA
Molecule: long non-coding RNA, 1426 nt
Organism: Strongylocentrotus purpuratus (purple sea urchin)
Lineage: Eukaryota; Metazoa; Echinodermata; Echinoidea; Camarodonta; Strongylocentrotidae
Exons: 2
Source: RefSeq, a predicted model, not a curated record